Molecule: long non-coding RNA, 250 nt
Filed under: Mytilus galloprovincialis (Mediterranean mussel)
Lineage: Eukaryota; Metazoa; Mollusca; Bivalvia; Mytilida; Mytilidae
Source: RNAcentral
GUAAAGUUUGGUCUCCCCCACAUGUACAGCUUCCCCCAGCCAAUCCCAAUUUUCGUUCUCGUUCCUAUUCUUGCCAAUGAAAAUCUGAUGUCAGUUUGCAAUGCUAAAUAUAAGUCAUAAAAGUACAAGACCUAAAUUUAGUAUGCAAGACUCGCGUUUCUUUUAUUCAAGACUCGUCAGUGACGCUCGAAUCAAGAACGAAAGUUUGUCAGCAUUGUCAAUCUUUUUAACGUUAAAGUACCAAUAGUUC